Molecule: ribosomal RNA, 451 nt
Filed under: uncultured bacterium
Lineage: Bacteria
Description: partial 16S ribosomal RNA
Rfam family: Bacterial small subunit ribosomal RNA
Source: RNAcentral
AACGAACGCUGGCGGCAGGCCUAACACAUGCAAGUCGAACGCUCGUAGCAAUACGGGAGUGGCAGACGGGUGAGUAACGCGUGGGAAUCUACCCAUUGGUACGGAAUAACUCAGGGAAACUUGAGCUAAUACCGUAUGUGCCCGAAAGGGGAAAGAUUUAUCGCCAUUGGAUGAGCCCGCGUCGGAUUAGCUAGUUGGUGGGGUAACGGCCCACCAAGGCGACGAUCCGUAGCUGGUCUGAGAGGAUGAUCAGCCACACUGGGACUGAGACACGGCCCAGACUCCUACGGGAGGCAGCAGUGGGGAAUAUUGGACAAUGGGCGCAAGCCUGAUCCAGCCAUGCCGCGUGAGUGAUGAAGGCCCUAGGGUUGUAAAGCUCUUUCGGCGGGGACGAUAAUGACGGUACCCGCAGAAGAAGCCCCGGCUAACUUCGUGCCAGCAGCCGCGGUAA